GGCCUUGACAUACUAAGAACUUUCCAGAGAUGGAUUGGUGCCUUCGGGAACUUAGAUACAGGUGCUGCAUGGCUGUCGUCAGCUCGUGUCGUGAGAUGUUGGGUUAACGUCCGCAACGAGCGCAACCCUUUUCCUUAUUUGCCAGCGGGUAAUGCCGGGAACUUUAAGGAUACUGCCAGUGACAAACUGGAGGAAGGCGGGGACGACGUCAAGUCAUCAUGGCCCUUACGGCCAGGGCUACACACGUGCUACAAUGGUCGGUACAAAGGGUUGCUACCUCGCGAGAGGAUGCUAAUCUCAAAAAGCCGAUCGUAGUCCGGAUCGCAGUCUGCAACUCGACUGCGUGAAGUCGGAAUCGCUAGUAAUCGCGGAUCAGAAUGCCGCGGUGAAUACGUUCCCGGGCCUUGUACACACCGCCCGUCACACCAUGGGAGUUUGUUGCACCAGAAGUAGGUAGUCUAACCGCAAGGAGGACGCUUACCACGGCGUGGCCGAUGACUGGGGUGAAGUCGUAACAAGGUAAGCGUAGAUGA
RNAcentral lists this ribosomal RNA (533 nucleotides) under uncultured bacterium. RNAcentral describes it as "bacterial SSU rRNA". It matches the Rfam family "Bacterial small subunit ribosomal RNA", at positions 977 to 1509 of the family's 1533-position model. The record is from RNAcentral.